Molecule: ribosomal RNA, 253 nt
Filed under: uncultured bacterium
Lineage: Bacteria
Description: partial 16S ribosomal RNA
Rfam family: Bacterial small subunit ribosomal RNA
Source: RNAcentral
UACGGAGGGUGCAAGCGUUAUCCGGAUUUACUGGGUUUAAAGGGCGCGUAGGCGGACAGGAAAGUCAGUGGUGAAAUCUUCGAGCUUAACUCGGAAACUGCCAUUGAUACUAUUUGUCUUGAAUACUUUAGAGGUAAGCGGAAUAUGUCAUGUAGCGGUGAAAUGCUUAGAUAUGACAUAGAACACCGAUUGCGAAGGCAGCUUACUACACAGUUAUUGACGCUGAGACACGAAAGCGUGGGGAGCAAACAGG